GGGCCACGGACAGUUCUUCCAUGAUCCCCCUCAAGGAGCGGAGCUCGUCGGAGCCUUGAACUGAAAUGGCCUAGGCUCUCUCGGACAACUGCUUCUGAAGGCGAGCAACCUCAUCGGUCACCGUCUUGAGCCUCCUUCUGUAGUCAUCUACUUGCCCACACCAGCCGACUUGAUAGGCAUUGUAAUUCGCCUCGACGUUCGGUAGCUAUUUCUGAAGGUCGGAGAAUUUCUUCGAU
This 236-nucleotide long non-coding RNA is filed under the name Elaeis guineensis (African oil palm). RNAcentral's name for it is "long non-coding RNA (EGUI_LNC065635)". Lineage: Eukaryota; Viridiplantae; Streptophyta; Magnoliopsida; Arecales; Arecaceae. The record is from RNAcentral.